GGGGUCGUGGCUCAGUGGUAGAGUGCUCACCUAGCACGUGUGAGGCACUAGGUUUGAUCCUCAGCACCACA
Molecule: transfer RNA, 71 nt
Filed under: Marmota monax (woodchuck)
Lineage: Eukaryota; Metazoa; Chordata; Mammalia; Rodentia; Sciuridae
Description: tRNA.Ala
Source: RNAcentral